Megalopta genalis is the source of this 1638-nucleotide non-coding RNA. Lineage: Eukaryota; Metazoa; Arthropoda; Insecta; Hymenoptera; Halictidae. The record is from RefSeq and is a predicted model, not a curated record.
CGUUAGAAACCCGCACCCUCUUUUACAAUCCGUAAACAAAAAGUAUUCAGUUUUCUUUUCUUCAAUCAGUCGCAUCACGAAGCAAUAAAUAAAUGUAAUUCGUCAGAAUUUUCUGAAUAUUUUCUCAAUCUAUUCCACUUUGGUAGCAGUUUGUUCGUCGUAUUGUACAGACGGCACCAUGGGAGGCUUGAAGCCAUACUCCAUCUUGGACUGCCUAAAGCUACCGGUAUUUCCGAUCACUCCGUCCUGCCUAGUUCUCCUCAUGGUUGUUUGAAUAUCCGAAGUGUACUGUAUAGAUUUGGAUUGGAUACCAAUGGGCACCUUUCUUGGAACAGGACCCACGUAUUCAUCGUGGAUUUUAUCCUUCUCGACCCUCCCGUAAGACACUGUAUUACCACCAUUGUUUCCAUGCGAAUAGGAAUGGGAAUACUGGGAUCCAUACGAUCCGAACUUCUUCGGCAGCGAAGGUACCACCGGUUGCCUAGCUAAAGGGCGAUUCAGAGCGUAACCAAGACCGUAGAGUUGCGUCGAAUUAUUGUUGUAAUAACCCUGGUCCUCAUUGACGGACCCAUACGGGGGACCCGGUAGCGUUUGGAAACUUUGCUGUCUGAUCACCUGUUGGUAGUUCCCGUCGUUCUGAACGUUGUAGAUUGGGAUUGCCACGGAUUUCACGAACUUUGCAGCCUCUAUAGGAUACGGCCUUGCGACAUGCACCACUGGCUUUUCCACGACCUUUUCCACUGGAACUGGCACCGGUACAGGCUUCUCCACUACCUUCUCCACCGGAAUUGGAACCGGUUGCGGCACCCUGAAGUGGAUCGGGAAUGGAAUGAGCACCCUCUGGAUCGCGAUCGGCACCUUCUUCUCGAUCACUUUCUCCACGUGCACCGGUUCUCCCGCACUGGCAAUAAGGGGAAGCGUAAGCAACCAGAACAGCUGAGAAGACAAAUUUCAAUUUGCUCGGAUUUUUGGCACACAAUUUCCAUCUGAUUUAAUUCAGCAUUUUCCAUAUUUUAAUUCUGCAGUCUUAACAAGAUCGAACGAUGCGAAUUAAUUGGAUAAAGGAAAAAGAAGACGAUGUCUCGAGAGACUCACCAGAUGAAGUUUCAUGAUUAACAAUUCGGUGAACAGUAGUUCCUGCCCUCCCUAGUCCAGGAUGUAACUCCUCUAUUCUGUUGUGCGGUUGCCAAUCCUCUGGAACGUCGAUGCACGCACUCCGGAAAGAAACAGUGUACUACUUCGUCCCGGCGCGAUACACUUGACUUAACUGGUAGCUCCAGUUAUCCCCACGCAUCAAAGGAGUCCGAAGAGAGCUACAAUCGCCUUUAAAAGAUCCCUCGGACAGCAUCCGAUCCGAUCCGAUCCGAACCGCGAUCAGCACGAGCCCCCUUUGCUGGAUCUCCUUGCUGAAGAAAGCGCGGGAUACCGGAUUCGUUCGGACAAAUACCAACGGAACGACGCUCGGGCAACAUUAAUCAGCAAUUAUAGAACGAGAACACGUCACUCGAAUUUUACACGCAAUUUUCUUUUCUAUUUAUCAAGCGUUUCGGAUCUUCGUGGGUUCGUUUAGCUUUACGAGUACAAGGUUGCAAAUAUUAAUGCAACUAAACUUUGAGGAUAGAAUAAAUAGAAAUAUUA